Molecule: ribosomal RNA, 240 nt
Filed under: uncultured bacterium
Lineage: Bacteria
Description: partial 16S ribosomal RNA
Rfam family: Bacterial small subunit ribosomal RNA
Source: RNAcentral
CGACCGGCGCACGGGUGCGUAACGCGUAUGCAACCUACCUUUAACAGGGGAUAACACUGAGAAAUUGGUACUAAUACCCCAUAAUAUCAUAGAAGGCAUCUUUUAUGGUUGAAAAUUCCGAUGGUUAGAGAUGGGCAUGCGUUGUAUUAGCUAGUUGGUGAGGUAACGGCUCACCAAGGCAACGAUACAUAGGGGGACUGAGAGGUUAACCCCCCACAUUGGUACUGAGACACGGACCAA